This 2538-nucleotide long non-coding RNA is filed under the name Sus scrofa (pig). Its description in RNAcentral is "lncRNA (ENSSSCG00055005888.1)". Lineage: Eukaryota; Metazoa; Chordata; Mammalia; Artiodactyla; Suidae. The record is from RNAcentral.
AUGCUCACCACCCUUCUGUCUGUCACUCAGCAUCUCUGCAAUCCCUCCCACAUCUCAUGUUUGUAUCGCCGGCUUGCUGCCUACAAGCUUUGGUGUGAGUGAGAAUGUACACCUCUGACUGUCUCACUCUCUCAUCGAAGGAAAAUGAGCAUUGGAGCCAGGCUGGAAGAUGGAGCCAAGGUUGCCUGUCGCGAGAUGGAGCCGCAAAGGCAGGGCCUGGGCGCCUGGAGUCCAGCAUGAAAGGAAAUAGCGCCUCAUCGCUCUUAUCUAAGCCCAGAGCCGCCUCCUCGCCCUUGCUGGCCUCUGCGGAGAUUCCAGGCCCUCCGGAGACCAGGAGACCUCAGCGGCCACCGCCCCUCGUGCCAAUGCUGCCGGGAAACCACCGAUACCCGCACCGGGCAAGAGAACUGCGCUGGGGGCCACUGGAGGAGGCGGGAACAAGGGAGGGAUGGGGGGAGGGGGAGGGGGCGCAAACCCACAGAGGCCAUAGUAACCGGCUUCUGCCGGCGCCCCCCCAAGCCCAAACGCCCCCAUUCUCUCUUUCGCAGCCCCCUUGCUUAAACCUCUCCUCCCAGCUUAAAAACGAGACUCAGAGCUCACCUCCGUGGCCCUCUUUCGGUUCCUCCUGUGGUCAGCCCUGCCUUGCUUCCCCUCCAGGAAGCAGCCGCCCCUCUCUAGGCCACCCAAUUUCCUGGGAAGCCUCUCCCUGCAGCGCCCAGAGGUGGGGUUCAGCCCCAUCUUGGAGGGGGGAGAAGGAGGGAGACAAACCCAAGCCCCACCCCCUACAAAAUCAAUGCAAAAAAUACGAGAAUUGUAGCAUCUCCCUUACCUUUGCAGACCUUGGGAUUUCUUUCUUCCGAUUGAAAGGGGUGGGGAGAAAGGAAAGGGAAAAAAAAAAAAAAAAAAAGAGCGUUUGGUUUCUUCUUCAUCUUUCAGAUAAUAUUGUCCCAACCUGAGAGCCGUUGCUUCCUCUUCUCUGACUUGGGAGAGAGGGUGUUUCGCUUUUCUGAUAUUUGCAUAUAAAAUGGAGUAAGUUCUGGCUUUGAAAAAUGGUAUCAGGCUGCAGUCCUGGGCAGGUGGUCCAUUUACACUCCAUGAUGACUAAAAUCCCAGAUCAGCAAGCAAAUUAACUUAGAAAUGAAAAUUAUUUUUGAUUCUCUCUUUUGUGUAAUUCCCACCCCCUCCUUCCCUCUCUCUCUCCCUCUCUCUCCUUUCCUCCUCUCCCCCUCUCCUUUCCUCUCUCUCUUUUGCUUUAUCGAGCUGAUACUGAAGUAUAAAAAUAUCAAGAGGCUGGAGCCCUGAAGGACGACAGUGCUCCGACCUAGGUGUGGUGUCCAAAAGAAUGCUGCAUUAUAACCACCAGGGAAAUGAUAAAAAGUUCAUGUUCACGAUCGCCCGGCCACAUGACCGGCGCUGGCCAAUCGCUGGAUUCAACCACUCAUAAACUUCUAUCACAAAGUUGUAAAUUUUCAUAAAACAACAAGGAAUUUAUUGCAUUUCUUCAUGGCUGCUCCACCAGCAACCCUUUUCUCAGUCGCCAUCUUCUUUUCUUCUCCUUCUCGGUUUUUGGGGAAACCCCAGUCUGAGAUGGGGUGAGAUUUGGGGUGCAGGGAAUCAGGCGGAGAAGCCCCAAGCGCAUAGCUGGGAAGGGGGUUCUUUUUGGAACCUCCCUAUCCUCACAGGAGCUCUACCCCCUUCCUCUAGUAAAAAUUCACCCCCAAACCUCCGCACAGGGACCGGUCUAAGGCUGUUUGAGGGGGAGUCGGGAGCAGCAGCCCAGGGUUCAGAGUUGCCACUUGCAUGAGGGCAAAAUGAAAGCUUCAGUGCCCCUUUCCUCCUCCGAAUGACACCCUCACUCCCAGCCCUUGUGAGGCUUGCAGCAUUGCAGGUGUGGGGGCCCCAGAUCCCUUAGGGCCUAGUGUUUGCCCCCAGAAGGGAGGUGGCCCUAAUGGAGUUCUAGGCCGACGGUCUAGCCACCAGAUGGUUGCCUCUGUACCCCAGAAAUUGGAGGAAGGUAAAGACGGAACCUUGUCUCUCUCGCCCAAAUGUCCAGGUGCCCAGGUUCCCAGGAUGACUCCCUGAACUCUCUUUGGGGGGGGAGGGUCCUGCGGUCCUUAAUGGGGGGAAAUUGCAGGUUUGGGAGGCUUUUCUUUACACAUUCAAAUUAAAUGGAUUCUCCUAAAGUGCGCUUCCUCCCAGCCCUCUUCCCUUUCCCGUCCCGAUGCCGAUCUUUAAAUUCAAUCCAGGAUGUAUAAUCGAAUAAAGACUAAAAAUCAGCUCAGCAGGUCUAGCUGUGUAGGCGCCAGCCUCCGGGUUUUUAUCUCUUGAUCAAGGGGGUGUUUGGGGAGAAAAAAAAAAAAAAAAAAAAAAAAAAAAAAAACAAUAACCCAAAUUCACCCUAUGUAUCCCAGGUCCCUGAAAUACUCCCGCAUUUUGAAUUGCGCUACCGGCACUCAAAUGCAGGAAAGGAUAGAACCUCCCCCUCCCCCCCCCCCAAUUUUUCUUUCUCUUUCUCUGUGCUCCGGAGAAGAUUCCAGG